GAUGAACGCUAGCGGCAGGCCUAAUACAUGCAAGUCGAACGGCAGCACGGGGGCAACCCUGGUGGCGAGUGGCGAACGGGUGAGUAAUGCAUCGGAACGUGCCCCGUAGCGGGGAUAACCAGUCGAAAGACUGGCUAAUACCGCAUACGCUCCACGGAGGAAAGCAGGGGAUCGCAAGACCUUGCACUAUGGGAGCGGCCGAUGCCCGAUUAGCUAGUUGGUGAGGAAAGGCUCACCAAGGCGACGAUCGGUAGCUGGUUUGAGAGAACGACCAGCCACACUGGGACUGAGACACGGCCCAGACUCCUACGGGAGGCAGCAGGUGGGGAAUUUUGGACAAUGGGCGCAAGCCUGAUCCAGCCAUGCCGCGUGC
RNAcentral lists this ribosomal RNA (373 nucleotides) under uncultured bacterium. RNAcentral describes it as "bacterial SSU rRNA". It matches the Rfam family "Bacterial small subunit ribosomal RNA", at positions 28 to 404 of the family's 1533-position model. The record is from RNAcentral.